This 201-nucleotide ribosomal RNA is filed under the name uncultured bacterium. RNAcentral's name for it is "partial 16S ribosomal RNA". It matches the Rfam family "Bacterial small subunit ribosomal RNA", at positions 335 to 556 of the family's 1533-position model. The record is from RNAcentral.
ACUCCUACGGGAGGCAGCAGUGGGAAUAUUGGACAAUGGGGCAACCCUGAUCCAGCCAUGCCGCGUGCGUGAAGAAGGCCUUAGGGUUGUAAAGCGCUUUCACUGGUGAAGAUGAUGACGGUAGCCAGAGAAGAAGCCCCGGCUAACUCCGUGCCAGCAGCCGCGGUAAUACGGAGGGGCAAGCGUUGUUCGGAAUUAGCU